RNAcentral lists this ribosomal RNA (429 nucleotides) under uncultured Latescibacterota bacterium. Its description in RNAcentral is "bacterial SSU rRNA". It matches the Rfam family "Bacterial small subunit ribosomal RNA", at positions 954 to 1382 of the family's 1533-position model. Lineage: Bacteria; Pseudomonadati; Candidatus Latescibacterota. The record is from RNAcentral.
AUGAUACGCGAAGAACUUACCGGGUUUGACAUGCAGGUGAUCGCCGUUGUAAAGACGGUUUCCUCUUCGGAGGCACCUGCACAGGCGCUGCAUGGCUGUCGUCAGCUCGUGUCGUGAGAUGUUGGGUUAAGUCCCGCAACGAGCGCAACCCUUAUCCCCAGUUGCCAUCAGGUAAAGCUGGGAACUCUGGGGAGACUGCCGGUGAUAAACCGGAGGAAGGCGGGGAUGACGUCAAGUCCUCAUGGCCCUUACAUCCCGGGCUACACACGUGCUACAAUGGCAGGUACAGAGGGCUGCGAAGCCGCGAGGUGGAGCGAAUCCCAGAAAACCUGUCUCAGUCCGGAUUGAAGUCUGCAACUCGACUUCAUGAAGGCGGAAUCGCUAGUAACCGCGAAUCAGCAGGUCGCGGUGAAUACGUUCCCGGGCCUU